CAGCAGCCGCGGGAAUACGUAGGGUGCAAGCGUUAAUCGGAAUUACUGGGCGCAAAGCGUGCGCAGGCGGUUCGUUAAGACAGAUGUGAAAUCCCCGGGCUUCACCUGGGAACUGCAUUUGUGACUGGCGGGCUAGAGUAUGGCAGAGGGGGGUAGAAUUCCACGUGUAGCAGUGAAAUGCGUAGAGAUGUGGAGGAAUACCGAUGGCGAAGGCAGCCCCCUGGGCCAAUACUGACGCUCAUGCACGAAAGCGUGGGGAGCAAACAGGAUUAGAGACCCCAGUAGUCCCUGUCUCUUAUAC
Molecule: ribosomal RNA, 301 nt
Filed under: uncultured bacterium
Lineage: Bacteria
Description: partial 16S ribosomal RNA
Rfam family: Bacterial small subunit ribosomal RNA
Source: RNAcentral